Ictalurus punctatus (channel catfish) is the source of this 1241-nucleotide long non-coding RNA. The record is from Ensembl. Lineage: Eukaryota; Metazoa; Chordata; Actinopteri; Siluriformes; Ictaluridae.
AAAAUAAUGGUGGCCACACAAAAUAUUGACACUUUGGGCCAAAUUUGGACAUUUUCACUUAGGGGUGUACUCACUUUUGUUGCCAGCGGUUUAAAUAUUAAUGGCUGUGUGUUGAGUAAUUUUGAGGGGACAGCAAAUUUACACUGUUACACAAGCUGUACACUCUCUACUUUACAUUGUAGCAAAGUGUCAUUUCUUCAGUGUUGUCACAUGAAAAGAUAUAAUCAAAUAUUUAUAAAAAUGUGAGGGGUGUACUCACUUAUGUGAGAUACUGUAUAGAACAGGCAUAGGCAUGGGGUCUGUUCUGACACUUUCAUGUGAGCUUUUCACCUUGAAGUCUCUAUAAUACAGUAUAAUCAUUCAGUGUCUUUAACUAUUAGUUCUAAUUGAUAAACAUAUUGCUUUAACAAAGCACUAGACUAAGCAGGCUAGGAUCCUUAGGGAAGACUCAUUCAUCAGCGAUGUGUCAGACAUUUAACUGCCAUGUGUCAAACACACUGAGGAAGUGCAGGUGUGUUUUCUGCUCUCACACAGAGCUCGAGUGCGCUGUUCACAUGCAGGACUCUUUACGAGCGGAGGCCUGGACGCCCGGUGUGACUUCAGCUGGGAAAACAACACUGAGUCUCAUUUUGCUUGUCUCUUUCCUGGUGCUGAAAUCAUUUUACUUGGAUCGUUUUAAAACAUUCUCCAUUUACCAGCAAGACUUCAUCUUCAAUAAGCCACCGGUUCCCAACCCUGGUCCUGGACUACUGCCUGUCUUGCACAUUUUAGUGUUGUCCCUGGUCUAACACACCCAGUUCAAAUCACGAAGGGCGGUUAAUUAGCUGAUUAGAUGAAGCAGAUGUUGGGAAUAGGAGCAGGAUAAAAAAAAAACUAAAAUAUGUAGGAGAGGGGUACUCCUGGACCAGGGCUGGAAACAUGUGCACUUAGAGUUAAUGGGAGGAAAAUUACCAUUUCAUACUCUUCCUUUCUACAUAUUAUGUAAUGACAGUCAUAAUUAAUAAUUAUGUUGUAUGAUUUCUGCAACAUUUUUUUUAUGUUUAAAUGAUACAGUAAUGCUUAUGGGAAACAAUUAUUUUAAAACAAGGUACAAUCAGGCUUUUGCAUGGUGUAGCCUGCCACCUGCUGAUCAUACAAGAAACAGACAAAUGUAUUCUAUUGGGCUUCAAGUUCAAGUACUCUGGUUAAAGACCUCUUUUUAAAGAAUUUCUGGUUAUAGACCUCUGGUUAAAGGAUUUCUG